CCAUUGGUGGUUCAGUGGUAGAAUUCUCACCUUUCGUGUGGGAGACCCAGGUUUGGUUCCCAGCCAAUGAA
This is a transfer RNA of Loxodonta africana (African savanna elephant), 71 nucleotides long. It matches the Rfam family "tRNA". Rfam says of the family: Transfer RNA (tRNA) molecules are approximately 80 nucleotides in length. Their secondary structure includes four short double-helical elements and three loops (D, anti-codon, and T loops). The record is from Rfam. NCBI's taxonomy places the organism in Eukaryota, Metazoa, Chordata, Mammalia, Proboscidea, Elephantidae.